RNA transcript from Corythoichthys intestinalis (scribbled pipefish), 5243 nucleotides. It is a transcript of the gene named mitogen-activated protein kinase kinase kinase 21, with no coding region annotated. The record is from RefSeq and is a predicted model, not a curated record. NCBI's taxonomy places the organism in Eukaryota, Metazoa, Chordata, Actinopteri, Syngnathiformes, Syngnathidae. The transcript has 12 exons.
UCCGACUCGCAAUGAGCUUCCACGGGGGGUUGUUUUGAUACCCCCUCCUUUCCCCUUGGUCUUUUUUGCAACAUUCCCCCACUGCUACUUUGUUGCCGAGGAUGUUUGAUGGGAUAUUGAGAGCUCACCCGCCGCCUACCGAUGAGGACUUCCCGGUAGUUGUAAAGCCGAGAGGAGCAACUUUUGACCACUUACCAUAUCGCUCUUGACCAAGCUAACCGAGCUAGUCCGUUAGCUGCGCGCGCGCGUGUGUGUGUGGAAUGCUGUAGAAAUUAUUUGGAAACGUCACCAACGGAGAGGAGUAGCCCCCCUUAAGCAACCCACGUUAUGGCCGGACAGUGCAACAUUAAACUUCGACUUUGAGAGUGACUCGUCGCUCGGCGGCCGCAUCCUUAUUGCCGGGGCAGGUGCACCUCCUUCCCCGCGACACCUGUGGCGAAGCCUCGACGGUGCUAGCUUUAGCUUUAGCAUCAAACACAAGUGGGACACUUUUUAAAUAUUUUUUUUUGUUUUUUAAUCGUUCCCCACUUUGACGUUUCAAAUAUCUUACUCCGGAAAUGCACGUUGUUUCAUUUGAAAGUAUACGUUAAGUAGAUUCGGGGCUGUUUGUUAACUUUAGGCAAGCAUUAAGCCAGCCACUUGUAGCCGGGUGUCGACAGUGCUGUGGGAUUAAGUUACAGCCCCGUGUGGGACGCUCCUCGCCGAGGGACUUUGGUCGGUGUCAAAAGCUCAGGCGGGGAAUUCCCCUCCUUUUCAUCCAGUAAAAUCAACAACAUGCUGAGUUCCAAAAGUCACAUUUUGCUUUUCUAAUUUAGCCUCUUGCGCCCCGCACCCUAUGGUGCCAUUACGGCCACCGAGAAAUGGAUGUCUCGCAGGCCGCUUUCCCAAACGGUGAAGGGCGGCCGGGCGGCGGUGAUGGUGGCGGUGGUGUUGGAGGGAGCAGGGAACAUGUCUGGACAGAUUCCCCCACGCACGCGUGGGCUCACUCGGCCCCGCUUUGCCCGACGCGGUCGCUGUGGACUGCCGCGUACGACUAUGAGGCGAGCGGCGAGGACGAGCUCAGUCUGUGUCGGGGCGACGUGGUCGAGGUCCUGUCCAAGGACGCGGCCAUAUCCGGCGACGAAGGCUGGUGGACCGGAAAGAUCAACCACCGGGUCGGCAUCUUCCCCUCCAACUAUGUCACCUACCAGCCUGCCAUUUACCGUCUGCCCGUCGCGAGCGCGCGGGAGCGGGUUCCGGCUUCCCCUGUCCAGAUCCCCUUCACCGAGCUGGUGCUGGAGGAGAUCAUCGGCGUAGGAGGCUUCGGCAAAGUGUAUCGCGGCACAUGGAAGGGUCAGGAGGUGGCCGUGAAGGCGGCCAGACAGGACCCUGACGAGGACAUUACCGCUACGGCGGCCAGCGUCAAGCAGGAGGCCAAACUAUUCUCCAUGCUGCAGCACCCCAAUAUCAUCAAGCUGGAGGGGGUGUGCUUGGACGAGCCCAACUUGUGCUUAGUCAUGGAGUACGCCCGAGGAGGCACGCUGAACCGGGCGUUGACCGGCAGGCGAAUUCCGCCGCACAUUCUGGUUAAUUGGGCCGUGCAGAUAGCGCGCGGGAUGCACUAUUUGCACGAGGAGGCCGUGGUCAUCCACCGAGACCUGAAAUCCAGCAACGUUCUAUUACUUGAAACAAUAGAAAAUGACGACAUCGGAAGGAAGACGUUGAAGAUCACUGACUUUGGCCUGGCCCGGGAGUGGCACAAGACCACAAAAAUGUCUGCGGCGGGCACCUACUCCUGGAUGGCCCCUGAGGUCAUCAAGUCGUCUACAUUUUCUAAAGGCAGUGAUGUCUGGAGCUAUGGCGUUUUGCUGUGGGAGCUGUUAACAGGGGAGGUGCCUUACAGGGGAAUUGAUGGCCUGGCUGUUGCUUAUGGCGUGGCUGUCAAUAAAUUAACAUUACCAAUUCCUUCCACCUGCCCCGAACCCUUUGCAAGGCUUAUGGAAGAGUGUUGGGAUCAAGACCCACACGUGCGCCCCUCAUUCUCCUGUAUCCUGGAACAGCUGUCUGCCAUCGAGGAGGCAGUGAUGGCCACCAUGCCGCAGGACUCUUUCCAUAUCAUGCAGGACGACUGGCGUGUGGAGAUUCAGGAGAUGUUUGACGAGCUCAGGACCAAAGAGAAGGAGCUACGUUCUCGGGAAGAGGAGCUGACGAGAGCCGCUCUGCAGCAGAAGUCCCACGAGGAGGUGCUGAAGAAACGCGAGCAGCUGCUAGCCGAGCGGGAGAUCAACGUGCUAGAGCGGGAGCUCAACAUCCUCAUCUUUCAGCUCAACAAGGACAAGCCUAACGUCAAGAAGCGCAAGGGCAAAUUCAAGCGAUCCCGCCUCAAGCUGAAGGACGGCAACCGCAUCAGCUUACCUUCAGACUUUCAGCACAAAAUCACAGUGCAGGCUUCGCCCUCCAUGGACAAGAGGCGGAGCCUUCACAGCACCAGCUCCUCUCCUCCCAGCAGUCCCACACUUAUACCCCGCCUACGAGCUAUUCAACUGACGUGCCCUGUGGAGAGGGAUACAUUGUUUGUUUACCAGCAAGACGUGGAUCUGAGCAGCGAGCUCUCGUGGUUCGGCGUCACGCAGGAUGAGAGCAACCGCACAUGGGGUCGUAGCCCCACCUUAAGGCAGGAAGAAUUUGACGAUGUGAGGAGGGGUAUCAAGAAGAAGGGGAGAACCUGGGGCCCUAGUUCAGUGCAAAGCAAAGAAAGGCCUGCUGCCACAGAGAGAGUGCGUCCGCUCUCAGACGGCAGCAACCCAUCAUGGUCCACCAGUCUGGUGAAGUCGCAGAAGCCUGUCCCACUUGCCUCCCUUUUUGCUGAACAGGGAGAAGGUGGUAGAGAUGAGUCCUUCACACAAGAGUGUUCCGACAGCAGCUCCAAACCAAAGCAGCUCAAAUUCCCCAACCAGGUGUACCUGGAUCUACCUCUAUGGCGGGACGAGCAGCAGCCCCCCUGCAUCGUAGGGGAGGGUCCGGCCAGGCCGGUGUCUCCGGGUGGCCCGGCCGAGAGUCCAGAAGACACCGCCACCACGUCCACCUCUUCGGCCUCCACAACCCCACAGCUCACGCCCACCAACAGCCUUAAGAGGGCGUCGGGUCGUCGCAAGAUGGAUUCUGUGCUGUACGGCUGUGGCUCACUGUUGGCCUCUGUCGUGCUUGGCUACGACAUACGCGAGGCACUCAAGAAUGCUCAGGAUGACGGCGAGCCACCGCGGGAGGAGAAGAAAAAGAAGGAGGGCCUGUUCCAGCGCGCCACCCGCUUCCGACGCAGCACCUCCCCGCCGAACGGCAGCCGCUCUCGUAAAGAUGAGAUCUCGCCGACCCACGUCUCCAACCCGCACGCCAACUUGGUCUCCAUGUCGGCCAUCGUGGAAUGCAAGUCCACAAAGUGCCUGCUCCAGUCAGAGGCGGAGGUGUCGCGGUGCAGCCCCACCAAGGCUGACCUCGUGCCAGUCAGUCAACAUGUCGAGACCCCUCGGCCUGCUCCGCCCCCGCCUGUAGAAAAAAAACAAACGACACCGCCACAAACCCAAAGUCAACCGGCGGAGGUGACCAACCAUAACAUGGGGACACGCCUCCGCAGAAAAAAAUACAACAACCAUGAUGCGAACGGCCUUCCCAGCUUGCCGCCUCCAACUGCUCCCAAGAAGACCAGAGACACGCGACCCGUCUCCUUCUGGGCUAAGCCGCACGCGCGAGGUCUGGUCGCUCACCUGGGCAAGAGCUAUUCGCUGGGCCACUACUCGGGCGAGAAGGCAGCGCAGGCCUGCUCGUUGCUCGACAUGGACGCCGAGGGCCAGAACCGCGACUGUACAGUGCCAUUGUGCCGCAUCCAGAGCUCGCCGGGCAGGCCCACCUUAUACGAGCUGGAAAAAGAGUUCCUCUCCUAGAAAGCCGUCACUUCCUAACUCCAAAUGCUUGUAGCGCGUAAAACGGAUUCGACCAGGAAGGACAAGCAGUCAAUUAGAUUGGAUGUCUAUCGCUGUCAAUGGCACUGAGACAUGAUCUUUCACUGCCAGCCCUGCAUUCUUGUAUUUAUACAGUAUCUAUUUUUCUAUGGGUAAAUUUGUAUGCAAUCGUCCUUACUUCAGAAAUCCCACCUUAUUUAAGGGAAUUACUUGCCAGUAUGUGCUGCUCAGAACUUCUCCCAGAUGCAGACAGCCUCCCUGUGCAGCAUGGCAUCGGGAGCGCCAUCUACAGGCCUGAAAAGGUAACGCAGGUCGAAAAAGCACCAAUUCAAUGAAAGAAUCUGAAGGAAAACAAGUGACUGUUUUGAAAGAUUUUUCGAAGUAUAAGCAUGAUAACUUUUCCAACAUGGUUCUGAAGAUUUUCUUGUUUCACAGUGUAUUAUGUGACCUGCGUGUCCCGUGUGGGCUGAACUCCAGUUUGGAUUUUUAAACCUCAAAGUGGCCCAGUCACUCUUUUUAUUUUUACAUGGAAUAUUUGGAUAUUAGCCACCAAAAUGGCUUCCUCAGGAUCAACUAAAGGGUUUCAUUUUAUUAAACAAUAAUAAUUAAAAAAAACGUUUUGUAAGAAAUCUCCGAUUAGAAUGGUGUAAAUACAAUUUUUAUUAUGAAAUCACGCUUUAUUUGAUGGAUUAGGCAAUGUGAGUCUUUUCCUCCACACAUUAUUUGCCUUAGUACAGUAGUAGUGUACUGUAAUUGGAUUUCCUAAAAACAGAUGCUCUGCCUCUAAUCAUUCAUUCAAUUUGCCCCAUAUUCUUCGAUCCUACCAGCAAUAAGAAAUAAGUAGUAACCAUGACUAUCUCCAGGGUGUAGAAACUGUACCUAUCGCUGAUGUGAACCCCCCAUUUGAAUGUGUACAUGCAUGUACAAUGGGACCUGACCUGAGGGCCAACCUAUGUAAAGCAAGCAAACAUUCCGUUGUAAACAUCUUUGAUGUCUAUUUUCCUGUCGGAGCUUCUGCCAAGUGGACCAAAAUGAAGGCACAAAACGAGCGCAAGACUGCACUAAAGGACAUUGUAGAACGUUUGUUCCCGACCAAAAUGUGAGCAGCCGCUGCUUGUGAUUUGUAGUCGUGUAGUAGAGAAAGACUCCGUGUGACGUCGGCCUUUUUUGAGCCUCCGGUCGGAUGACAUGCUACACAAAGUACAACACACACGUUACCCAUUGGUCCUUCAGUUUUUUUCUUAUUAUUAUUGUUAUCACAGUAUUUCAUUGCCUGAUUGAUCAAGAGUAUCAACAUUUUUCAAUAAA